This 162-nucleotide small RNA is filed under the name Sinorhizobium meliloti 2011. RNAcentral's name for it is "putative ncRNA". Lineage: Bacteria; Pseudomonadati; Pseudomonadota; Alphaproteobacteria; Hyphomicrobiales; Rhizobiaceae. The record is from RNAcentral.
GCGGAGAUAGAGCGACUUGGUGACGACAAUAGCGCGGCCCUAGCCCAAGCUGCUGUUUCUCGGGGAACGCCGAGCCGCCGGAGAAUCGAGAUCCCGCGCGGCACGGCAGUAGUUCAAGGACGCACGAGCACCGUGACCAUCAUCACGACGAUGGCGAAGACG